This 603-nucleotide ribosomal RNA is filed under the name uncultured Amanita. RNAcentral describes it as "eukaryotic LSU rRNA". The stretch from base 220 to 373 matches the Rfam family "5.8S ribosomal RNA". Lineage: Eukaryota; Fungi; Basidiomycota; Agaricomycetes; Agaricales; Amanitaceae. RNAcentral also lists the same sequence under 1 other name. The record is from RNAcentral.
UCCGUAGGUGAACCUGCGGAAGGAUCAUUAUUGAAUGAAACUUCUGGCUGGAUGCUGUUGUGCUGGUCCUUUGGGGCAAUGUGCACGCCUCUGGCUGUUUGUUUCUUCUGUUCCACCUGUGCACUGUCUGUAGACACACUGUGUCUAUGAUAUAUGGUUACACACACGCAUGAUGUUUUGCAUAUUGGUUGGCAUAUUACAUAUGUAUAUGAUAUAUACAACUUUCAACAACGGAUCUCUUGGCUCUCGCAUCGAUGAAGAACACAGCGAAAUGUGAUAAGUAAUGUGAAUUGCAGAAUCCAGUGAAUCAUCGAAUCUUUGAACGCAUCUUGCGCUCCUUGGCAUUCCGAGGAGCAUGCCUGUUUGAGUGUCAUUAAACUAUCAAAUCACCUCUCUUGAGGUGCUUUGGACUUUGGGAGUAUUUUGCUGGUCCGUUUGAGCCAGCUCUCCUCAAAAGCAUUAGCUAUGGAGACCAUCAGUGUGAUAACUUUGUUUACACUGACUGAGUGUGUCUCUGCUUCUUAAAAUAUGCCCCCUUUGACCUCAAAUCAGGUAGGACUACCCGCUGAACUUAAGCAUAUCAAUAAGCGGAGGAAGUAUUGG